GAAGAAGCAUAGCUGCACGCCGUUGGAAACACUUCAUAGAGUAACUGUGGUUUUGCUUUACUCACAGGACUAUUUGUUAGAUCUGUGUGAAGGAACUACAAGACAGUC
Molecule: small nucleolar RNA, 108 nt
Filed under: Propithecus coquereli (Coquerel's sifaka)
Lineage: Eukaryota; Metazoa; Chordata; Mammalia; Primates; Indriidae
Source: RNAcentral